RNAcentral lists this ribosomal RNA (253 nucleotides) under uncultured bacterium. Its description in RNAcentral is "partial 16S ribosomal RNA". It matches the Rfam family "Bacterial small subunit ribosomal RNA", at positions 524 to 776 of the family's 1533-position model. The record is from RNAcentral.
UACGUAGGGACCAAGCGUUGUUCGGAUUUACUGGGCGUAAAGGGCGCGUAGGCGGCUUAACAAGUCACUUGUGAAAUCUCCGGGCUUAACUCGGAACGGCCAAGUGAAACUGUCAAGCUAGAGUGCAGAAGGGGCAAUCGGAAUUCUUGGUGUAGCGGUGAAAUGCGUAGAUAUCUGGAGGAACACCGGUGGCGAAGGCGGCAUACUGGACCAACACUGACGCUGAGGAGCGAAAGCCAGGGGAGCAAACGGG